This 71-nucleotide transfer RNA is filed under the name Takydromus wolteri (mountain grass lizard). RNAcentral's name for it is "tRNA-Ile". Lineage: Eukaryota; Metazoa; Chordata; Lepidosauria; Squamata; Lacertidae. The record is from RNAcentral.
GGACGCGUGCCCGAGACUUAAGGGUUACUUUGAUAGAGUAAAAUACAGGGAUUCAUACCCCCUCGCCUCCU